UCCCUGGUGGCUCAGUAGGUUAAGUGUUCAGCGUUGUCACUACUGUGGCUCUGGUCACUGCUGUGGAGUAGGUUCAAUCCCUGCCCCGGGAA
Molecule: transfer RNA, 92 nt
Filed under: Sus scrofa (pig)
Lineage: Eukaryota; Metazoa; Chordata; Mammalia; Artiodactyla; Suidae
Rfam family: tRNA
About the family: Transfer RNA (tRNA) molecules are approximately 80 nucleotides in length. Their secondary structure includes four short double-helical elements and three loops (D, anti-codon, and T loops).
Source: Rfam by way of RNAcentral